UACGUAGGGUGCGAGCGUAAUCGGAAUUACUGGGCGUAAAGCGUGCGCAGGCGGUUUUGUAAGUCAGAUGUGAAAUCCCCGGGCUCAACCUGGGAACUGCGUUUGAAACUACAAGGCUAGAGUGUAGCAGAGGGGGGUAGAAUUCCACGUGUAGCAGUGAAAUGCGUAGAGAUGUGGAGGAAUACCAAUGGCGAAGGCAGCUCGCUGGGACGGUACUGACGCUGAGACGCGAAAGCGUGGGGAGCAAACAGG
Molecule: ribosomal RNA, 252 nt
Filed under: uncultured bacterium
Lineage: Bacteria
Description: partial 16S ribosomal RNA
Rfam family: Bacterial small subunit ribosomal RNA
Source: RNAcentral